Molecule: long non-coding RNA, 771 nt
Organism: Cavia porcellus (domestic guinea pig)
Lineage: Eukaryota; Metazoa; Chordata; Mammalia; Rodentia; Caviidae
Exons: 4
Source: RefSeq, a predicted model, not a curated record
AACCCAGAAACCACUAGGCUGCAUGAGGGCUAAACUGACCUCCAUCUGAACCACACAUUGAGUCAGUGAGAUCUCAAUCUUCACAAGACUGUCAAUCCCUCUGAUGUGUGGAAACAGGCGCACUCCGGACCCAUGUCUCAGAUUAGAUGGGCAGAUAUUUUCAUCUUUAAAAUUUGUUGUGCCCCAGGUGGGGCAUGUUCCAAGCUUUCAUUGGUGCCAUCGAUAAUAAACACAGUGGUGGCAGUAGGGGUAAGUGCGUGAGGAGAGAUGGCAUUUAUUGAGUUCUAACCCCAUACUCCACCUUACACUGCAGACGUUAAGAGCUCACAUUGGCUAAAUAUUUACUAACCUACUAGAUACCUCAGACAAAGUUCAGGAUGAGAAUUCAUGGGAAUUCCACUAAGAAUCAGCUGUACCAAGUCCUUACUGCCAGGAGCUUGUGUUCCGAGCAAGAAAAAAGAAAACAAGAAAGAAGAAAGAAAAAGAAGAAUUAGAGCAAGUAAUGGAAGAAAAAACUCCAUUUUACAGAUGCAGAGAUUGAGGGCCACAAAAGUUAUGAAAUCCAAUCCAAUGCUCAGAGUUGCUCAGCGAUGAAGCAGACAUUAGAGCCAAAGUUUGUCUCAUGGCAUGUCUUCUCCAAGAGCUUCUGGGAAAAGGUCUACAGAAAGCUGCCAUGAACUGCGGCCCAGCCAUGCCUCCCUGCCUUGGAGCCAACUGAGUAUGGACUGAAACCUCCAAAAACUGUAAGAAAUAAACCUUUCCUUUCCCAAA